RNAcentral lists this non-coding RNA (27 nucleotides) under Mus musculus (house mouse). Lineage: Eukaryota; Metazoa; Chordata; Mammalia; Rodentia; Muridae. The record is from RNAcentral.
UGGCAACUCUGUAGAUACCAUCUCUGG